GCGGAGGGAUCAUUCACAUGUAUCCAACCUGUAUCAACCAACUGUGAACUGUUUUGCCGUGAGAGGCAAGUGCUGAGAGUGUUAGCUUAGUCACUGAGUGGAAUCAGUGUUUACACUGAUUGAGACUAACUAGCUGUGACCGAUUCUUCGGAAUAUGGUCAGCUCUCCGUUUGCUAAUCCGGCCCUAUCUCUAGUCUAUCAAUGAUUGAUUGAUCCCCAUCUCAAUCGCUCUCAUUUUGAUAGUCUAGGGAGCCCCCACAAACCACCUCAGCAUUCUCUGUCCUGAUUAGUGCUUUGUGUACUGUUGGUGAUCAGAUGAAUGUCGAACAUUCGAUAACCAAUGAUAGCAUUUUCGGAUGCUUGACUCUGUCUGUCAUUUUCAUGAUAGCUUCACAGUAGUCAUUUUUAACAUAGAGAACAACUCUAUGCCCUGGAUAUCUUGGUUCUCGCACCGAUGAAGAACGCAGCGAAAUGCGAUAUGUCAUGCGAAUUGCAGGAUUCAGUGAAUCAUCGAAUUUUUGAACGCAAAUUGCGGUCCUGGGAUAGCCCCAGGACCACGCUUCCGGGAGUAUCGGUUCCUACUAUCANGCAUCUGAGCUUUGUGCACAGAGUUGGCCUAAGCGUGAGAGUCUCGUUUGUCAUUUCAUUGACAGACUAGUCUCUUGAAAAACAGUGGAGUUCCCCGUCUCUCACUCUCUCAUUCAUUGGAUGAGUGUUUGAUGACUGUGUAGAGUCUCAAAGAAUGUACUUUUCUUAACAAAAGUAUUUUCUGCCCCUAUCCUGUACCUGAUCUGUGGGG
RNAcentral lists this ribosomal RNA (799 nucleotides) under uncultured fungus. Its description in RNAcentral is "eukaryotic LSU rRNA". The stretch from base 420 to 574 matches the Rfam family "5.8S ribosomal RNA". The record is from RNAcentral. Lineage: Eukaryota; Fungi.